RNAcentral lists this ribosomal RNA (254 nucleotides) under uncultured bacterium. RNAcentral's name for it is "partial 16S ribosomal RNA". It matches the Rfam family "Bacterial small subunit ribosomal RNA", at positions 524 to 776 of the family's 1533-position model. The record is from RNAcentral.
UACAGAGGCCUCGAGCGUUAAUCGGAGUCACUUGGGCUUAAAGGGUGCGUAGGCGGUUCCGUAAGUGUCUUGUGAAAUCCCAUGGCUCAACCAUGGAAUUGCUCGGCAGACUGCGGAACUUGAGGUCGGUAGAGGUCGCUGGAACUCUAGGUGGAGCGGUGAAAUGCGUAGAUAUCUAGAGGAACGCCAAAGGUGAAGACAGGCGACUGGGCCGAUUCUGACGCUGAGGCACGAAAGCGUGGGUAGCGAACGGG